Molecule: microRNA precursor, 132 nt
Filed under: Daucus carota subsp. sativus
Lineage: Eukaryota; Viridiplantae; Streptophyta; Magnoliopsida; Apiales; Apiaceae
Description: sRNA DCAR_mi00002
Rfam family: MIR168 microRNA precursor family
Source: Rfam by way of RNAcentral
GUUGCGGCGUUCUCUAAUUCGCUUGGUGCAGGUCGGGACCAUGUUACACACACCUAUACAUACAUAUAUUCGUGUAUACAUAUGUUUGUGUGGUCCCGUUUUGCAUCAAUUGAAUCGGAGAGCGCUGCGAGU